Molecule: long non-coding RNA, 253 nt
Organism: Arachis duranensis
Lineage: Eukaryota; Viridiplantae; Streptophyta; Magnoliopsida; Fabales; Fabaceae
Exons: 3
Source: RefSeq, a predicted model, not a curated record
AUUCAAUUCAAUCUUUCAAUCCACAUAACUUUCAAAUUGUAGCUCCGAUUGACAAGCUGUUUGCGGUUACGCGUCACUCUCCUCAUCCUCUUCAAUUCUAUGUAAAUAUUAUGCUUAAUUGUUGAGUUAAUUGUUGCGGGUUGGUGCCUCGUUGAGGAACUUGGUGGAGCUUGGACUGGUGGAGGCUGGAAUUGACCGAAGAAAGGAUUCAAGAGUUAGAAACCACUAUCAACGAAGUAGAGAAAGAAGAGGG